GACGAACGCUGGCGGCGUGCUUAACACAUGCAAGUCGAACGGAAAGGCCCUGCUUUUGUGGGGUUCUCGAGUGGCGAACGGGUGAGUAACACGUGAGUAACCUGCCCUUGACUUUGGGAUAACUUCAGGAAACUGGGGCUCAUACCGGAUAUGAGCUCCUGCUGCAUGGUGGGGGUUGGAAAGUUUCGGCGGUUGGGGAUGGACUCGCGGCGUAUCAGCUUGUUGGUGUGGUAGUGGCUUACCAAGGCUUUGACGGGUAGCCGGCCUGGGAGGGUGACCGGCGACAUUGCGACUGAGAUACGGCGCAGACUCCUACGGGAGGCAGCAGGGGGGAGUAUGGCAGAAUGGGCGGAAGCCUGAGGCAGCAACGCCGCGUGCGGGAUGACGGCCUUCGGGUUGUAAACCGCUUUCGACUGUGACGAAGCGUGAGUGACGGUAAUGGGUAAAGAAGCAACGGCUAACUACGUG
Molecule: ribosomal RNA, 468 nt
Filed under: uncultured bacterium
Lineage: Bacteria
Description: partial 16S ribosomal RNA
Rfam family: Bacterial small subunit ribosomal RNA
Source: RNAcentral